RNAcentral lists this long non-coding RNA (241 nucleotides) under Zonotrichia albicollis (white-throated sparrow). RNAcentral's name for it is "lncRNA (ENSZALG00000000561.1)". The record is from RNAcentral. Lineage: Eukaryota; Metazoa; Chordata; Aves; Passeriformes; Passerellidae.
CCAUCAGAUACUGUGAGCUUGCACUCAGUGCCAUCAUGAGACUGAGGUGAUUCCAGGACAUUCGAGGUGUCUUCUGCUCAGUCCUUCAGUCCAUCCAGCCUGAAGAACUCCAAAGAGAGGAGAAUAUUGCUGUGUGAGGUGUUGUUUAUUCCCAGUGAAAGAGAUGGUUCCUGGACAAGGAAAGAGCAAUUUGAUAGCCUUUCCAUCCCUCAGCCUUUCUUUACAUGACAGAACUAUUGGC